UAGAGUUUGAUCCUGGCUCAGAACGAACGCUGGCGGCAGGCCUAACACAUGCAAGUCGAGCGCGCCUUCGGGUGAGCGGCGGACGGGUUAGUAACGCGUGGGAACGUGCCCUUCUCUACGGAAUAGCCUCUGGAAACGGAGAGUAAUACCGUAUACGCCCUUUGGGGGAAAGAUUUAUCGGAGAAGGAUCGGCCCGCGUUAGAUUAGGUAGUUGGUGGGGUAACGGCCUACCAAGCCUACGAUCUAUAGCUGGUUUUAGAGGAUGAUCAGCAACACUGGGACUGAGACACGGCCCAGACUCCUACGGGAGGCAGCAGUGGGGAAUCUUAGACAAUGGGGGCAACCCUGAUCUAGCCAUGCCGCGUGAGUGAUGAAGGCCUUAGGGUCGUAAAGCUCUUUCGCCUGUGAUGAUAAUGACAGUAGCAGGUAAAGAAACCCCGGCUAACUCCGUGCCAGCAGCCGCGGUAAUACGGAGGGGGUUAGCGUUGUUCGGAAUUACUGGGCGUAAAGCGCGCGUAGGCGGAUUAGAAAGUUGGGGGUGAAAUCCCGGGGCUCAACCUCGGAACUGCCUCCAAAACUGCUAGUCUAGAGUUCGAGAGAGGUGAGUGGAAUUCCGAGUGUAGAGGUGAAAUUCGUAGAUAUUCGGAGGAACACCAGUGGCGAA
Molecule: ribosomal RNA, 664 nt
Filed under: uncultured bacterium
Lineage: Bacteria
Description: bacterial SSU rRNA
Rfam family: Bacterial small subunit ribosomal RNA
Source: RNAcentral